This 1488-nucleotide long non-coding RNA is filed under the name Mytilus galloprovincialis (Mediterranean mussel). The record is from RNAcentral. Lineage: Eukaryota; Metazoa; Mollusca; Bivalvia; Mytilida; Mytilidae.
UUAAAGGGAAACUUCGCAAAAAAAUCAAAAAUUGAUAUUAUGUUUAUUCUGUAUAAAAAUGCUCAAAUUCAUAGAUAUUAAAGUUUUAUUCUGCUAGAUAAGAGAUCACCAUCGAUUUUAAAUUUAGAGUAUCAAUUCUCUGCGGUCAGCCAUUUUGUCACCUUCUCCGAUUUGCAGUCACGAUAUGUCUAAGGACCAAAACUACAGUAACCCGAUGUAGUCGUAAUUGCGUGUCGAUAUCUCGUCAAUCGUACGGUUGUUUUAUCCGACUAGUUAACUAGUUAACUAACUUGAUACGGAAAAUUUUCUUCUUUUUUUUUAAAUAACCAUGAUCUGUUAUUUUUAGACUGAUAAUAUAGGAAUUUAAUAGUGAAAAAGUCAAAAUUUCAAAUCAUAAAUAAGUCUUCCGUGAAACUUGAAUUGUUUUCGGAAAUCUAAUUAGUUCAUAAUUCUUUUAUGUAAUAAACUUUAUUCAAAUAAAUUAGGAUCUUCGCUCCACUGAUCACCCGCAUGGCUAAAGGUAUUACUCCCAAAGAUAUUGUAGGGGGUGUGAGGUGACACGUCCAGGUAUUCAAGCGAUUUCCUGUCGAGUUUGCAAAUUCAUGCAUCGUUUCACUUCUUAGUGUAUUGAUAAGUGUACACGGCCGAUAACUUAUAACUUUCCAUUUUGAACUAUUAGGUGUAUAAUAUACAUCUCUAUCUUGCGUGUCCGAAAGUGAUAUUACUAAACUCAUACGCUUGUUUAUGAAUAACAUUUCUGGUGAAAAGAAAAUUAUUUAUAAAAAUAUAAAUAAUACCAAAAAAAACCAAACAGAUUUGAUGAAAUAAAAAUCUAUAUACGUAUUUUUUCCAAGGGUAAAUUUGGUAAAAUGUAAUAUAUACUCGUUGUCAAUGGUGAAGGCCAGAAAUAUUGAUUUAAAAAAAUGUACGCACUUGUCGACCAUUCGUAUAUACGCCUGGAUUAUAAGUUACGGACCUAUAGCGCAAAUUAAAACAUAUACAUGUAUACAUAGAACAUAAGAAAGAAACAUACAUUUUGCGUAAAUUGGGGUAAAAGUUUUGUAAAAUGACAAGUCCACGUAUGCCAACACAGUAUGUAAUCAAUAAAUGACGAUAGACUAUUAGUAUACCAAAAGAAGAAGAAGAAGAGAUUUAAAUACAGGUCGAUAUAUAACUUUAUUUGGCUCAUCGAAGUUAUGGACAUUUAUAUAUCAAUUAGAUUGUUCUCGAAAAAAGGAAGAAAUUCGCCAUCAUCACAAUUGUUCCGACAUGCAUGUAAUAUAUACGCAACUGGAAGUACACUAAUACCGAGGGAUGUGAAUAUUUUCCAGGAAAACUAUAGAGUAUCAAAGUUUCAAAUCAAUUUCGGGAUUUAUUUUCUCUCUUGAUAUUCAAUGACAGCAAUUUAAAGAAUAAACUGCUUGUCCGUUUUAGUGGUAUUCUUGCCAGUUGAAACAGACUUAUAAUUACAUUAAAAAAUAGGGAAAG